UGUCGUGACGAAAGCGAAGAGGUCACACCCGUUCCCAUCCCGAACACGGAAGUUAAGCUCUUCAGCGCUGAUGGUACUUGGUGGGUGACUGCCUGGGAGAGUAGGUCGUCGCGGCUU
Molecule: ribosomal RNA, 117 nt
Filed under: Isachenkonia alkalipeptolytica
Lineage: Bacteria; Bacillati; Bacillota; Clostridia; Eubacteriales; Clostridiaceae
Source: RNAcentral